GGCGUCAUCUGCAGCAAGGCUCAGUUGGCCACACAGUCCGGUUUUCCAGUAGCUUUGCGUAUCUACCGCGGAGGCUGAACCUCACCAAACGCCCGGCAAACGGAACGGCGGGGAUGACCACCGAGCGGCAGCUUCACGGCCUUGCCGGCGGCCUCCCCGCGCCAAAGCCAGGCUCCCGGCAAGUGCCCCUGGAGGAGCGGAGGUCCUGGAGGGACCAAGAGAAGACGGAGUGUCAUCUUUCUGGAAGACAAGAUGAAAGUUCGCCAGAAGCAGGACGAAGGCUAAAUAAAGAAAAAGUCUUCCAAUGUCUUCAUGCUGUCCAGCUACAUCAGGUUGGUGCAUCCUGUUGAAAUCCCAGAGGUCUUCAGUCUUCCCAUGGACCAAGGAGAUGUGCAAUGUUUAAAGAGGCUUGAAGAGGGCAUGGAGGAGAAGAGGCCGGGGGCAGUUUUUGUGCAUAUGUGCAUGCUGCUGGUGGCCUGUAGCCUUCAUCAGCUGCACUCUGGGAAAGGAGAGGCCUCUUUGUGUCUCCUGGCAUCUCUGGAUUCCAUGUUCCUGUCAGCACAAAGGUGCUAAAUAACCUGUGAAGGCUGAAGGUCUGAGGCUCCUAAGCCUGAAGAGAAGGCUGGGCCAGUCAGGUCAAGUGGGAACCGCCAGUACAAGUCUCUGAGGGCUUCAUGCUUGGGGGAAGCUGGGGGUGAAGAUGGUUGUUUGUAGGGUCGACGGGGAGGUGGCAGUGAGGGUGAAGUUUUUUAUCUUCUUUAGUCACCGGGCCCAUCUUGAUUGCUCUCCUGCUUCUCAUGGGGAAGAAUGGGCCCAGUGACCUUGUUCACCUGAAAGUGUGUAGAAUGAACGCCUCCUUCUAGUGGGACUUUCAUGUGCUUUAUUGAAAAGGAUGAAUUGCUGAUGGUGGACUAUAAGGGAUCAGCAGGAGUAUUUCUUCUGGCUAAAGAUGCUUUUGUUGCUCCUGAGUCCUGAGGAGGGGGUUUGGGUCUGGGCUUCAUGAGUAUGUGUACAACUGCAGGAAUAUUAGGGCUUAGACCCAGCCUCACGGGUUGGGAGUGAGUCUUGGCUCUUUCCUAUCCUGAAUGUGACAGACAUCAGAAGGUUCUGGUGUCUUGCUCAGUGGAGACAUAGAUUCUCCGUCUAGCAUACUAACCUUUUCGCUUGAGCAUAGAUACUGAACUAUGGGAAUCUGUUAGACCAGUGUUUUUCAGAUUUCUCGACCGAGCCCCAGGAGUUGACAGAGGGUACCUUGGGGGCUGCCUGGGCACGAUACAGCCAGGGCUGCUCACACUGUUUCUGCUGCCCUCCUACAUCUUGGGUAUAUGGUGGAAGCAUGUAGGGAAGGCAGUGGCCUGCUGAGCCUCAUGGAGUAAAAAGAAGAGAGACUUGUCCUAGGUCCCCUCUGUGAAUCUAUCACAAGGGAACUCCGUUCUGUGGAGACCAUGGGCAGUUUGGGUACGUGUGCACAGAUAGCUGUGGUAUCCUGGGUCUCUCCUAGAGGAAAGGGUGUGGGAGAGGUAGUGCCAGGCUCAAGUUCUGAUACCUGCCAUACUUCUCAGACCUUAGUGCCCCCAAAUAUCAAAUGUAAUCUCCAAGUCCCCUUCUGUGGAGACCAUGUAGGGACUUCAGGCUGAGGCCCUUUUGAAUGUCCAGAGGAUGCCAGUAGGGUUUUGGGUGGCUGUUUCAGGAGAACAAAGAAUGAUAGUGGUGAUAUCCCUUACUUUUUACAACAGAUCAGUUUCUGAUCCACAUGGAAAUCUUGUGUAAAGUAACCUUACUGAGAAUGGACUGGGAACCCCAAAUGGACUGCCUGUAUUGCUUUCAGGAUAAAGUUCAAUUUCUAGGUCUGCCUUUCAAGGCCCUUCAUAACCAUGACUGACAUUUUCAUCAUCACCUAUCUUUCCUCCCCUACCCUGACAAAUUGAUGGCUCCACUAUGCUGCGUGAUGUGUUAUUCCUGUGUUAAUGCCUGUAGUGCUCUUUGGCAUGAAUGCUUGUGAAAUUUGGCUGCUGCUUCGUAAGGCCUGGCUCCUCUGGUUGGAGGGAAUCUCUUCCUCCUUGGUGUUACUGUUAUUUUUGUACAUUAUAACAGCCUCGUAUUUGUAGAUUGUGAGCUUCUCAAGGUCAGGGACAUGUUGAAUCUAUUUGAUCUCUUGCACAGGAUUUGGCAAAUAUUUCCCAAAUUGAUGUUUCAAAGAUUUAAAUAAACCUUUCUCUAUAGUACACAGUUACUUUUAAGUUAUGGAAUUAGCAAAAUCCAACUUCUUUUACUUGAACUUUCUUAAAAUUGGACUAAUUCCAAAGGAGGUUUUUCUGUCUGCGACUUUCAUUGAGUCAUUUUCUGUCGCCUCAAUGCAAAUUAUCAGAAAACUUUCUUGGUGGCCUUCCUUUGCCUCGGUGUCAACAUUGACUUAUUAUAGAAAAUGGGAGGGGAGAGGGACAUUUACUGAGUACCAGCUGUCUCUGCUGGGUACUAUCCUAGGUUCUUAACAUUAUUUUAUCCUUAUAACUCAAGUCUCUGAUUCUAAACCUGAUGCUCUUAUUGCUUUUCAUUAAUAGAGGUUUAAUAUGUCCCUUUGUAGGCCACAGACCCAGAGAACCUGCUGUAGCCAACUCUAAAGGAAGAGUUACUAGUUCUUUUUUUUUUUGCCAGCUGUCUGGUAGAAGGACCCAAACCCGUGACCUUGGUGUUAUAAGCCUGCACUCUAAGUAACUGAGCUAAUUGGCCAGCCCAGUUCUUAAAACAUCUAUAUGGUAAUUUGGUA
This is a long non-coding RNA of Cynocephalus volans (Philippine flying lemur), 2767 nucleotides long. RefSeq lists it as uncharacterized. NCBI's taxonomy places the organism in Eukaryota, Metazoa, Chordata, Mammalia, Dermoptera, Cynocephalidae. The record is from RefSeq and is a predicted model, not a curated record. The transcript is spliced from 3 exons.